Molecule: long non-coding RNA, 205 nt
Filed under: Lathyrus oleraceus (garden pea)
Lineage: Eukaryota; Viridiplantae; Streptophyta; Magnoliopsida; Fabales; Fabaceae
Description: Pisum sativum (pea) long non-coding RNA (PSAT_LNC037547)
Source: RNAcentral
CGUUGUGUUGUCCAACCUGAAUGUUGCCAUUCACCCCAGCCACCCCAUGUUGGAGCAUCUUCAUCAUAUGUAUCCGGCUGCUGUACCCAAGCAGAGCCGGGGUGAUCAUGCAUGCCAACUGGUGAAGGACUUGCGUCUCCACCAAUGUAAGCAUCAUUGUGCCUUAUUUCUUCUUCUUCUUCUUCGUCUUCUUGUUCUCUUUCCA